GAUGAACGCUGGCGGCGUGCUUAACACAUGCAAGUCGAACGGUGAAGCAGAGCUUGCUCUGUGGAUCAGUGGCGAACGGGUGAGUAACACGUGAGCAACCUGCCCCUGACUCUGGGAUAAGCGCUGGAAACGGCGUCUAAUACUGGAUAUGAGCUGCGACCGCAUGGUCAGCCGCUGGAAAGAUUUUUCGGUCUGGGUUGGGCUCACGGCCUAUCAGCUUGUUGGGGAGGUAAUGGCGCACCAAGGCGUCGACGGGUAGCCGGCCUGAGACGGUCACCGGUCACACUGUUGGUGCGCCGCGGCCCGGACUCCUUCGUGCAGGAGGUGUGUGGAAUGUUGCGCACUGGGCGAAGGCCUUUUGCAGCACCGGCGCGUGCGGGAUGUCGGCCUUCGGGGUGUAAACCUCUUUUAGCAGGGAAGACGCGAAAGUGACGUUCCCUGCAGAAAACGCGCCGGCUAACUCCGU
RNAcentral lists this ribosomal RNA (466 nucleotides) under uncultured bacterium. Its description in RNAcentral is "partial 16S ribosomal RNA". It matches the Rfam family "Bacterial small subunit ribosomal RNA", at positions 28 to 506 of the family's 1533-position model. The record is from RNAcentral.